This 305-nucleotide ribosomal RNA is filed under the name uncultured bacterium. RNAcentral's name for it is "bacterial SSU rRNA". It matches the Rfam family "Bacterial small subunit ribosomal RNA", at positions 337 to 639 of the family's 1533-position model. The record is from RNAcentral.
UCCUACGGGGGGCAGCAGUGAGGAAUAUUGGUCAAUGGGCGGAAGCCUGAACCAGCCAAGUCGCGUGAGGGAAUAAGGCCCUACGGGUCGUAAACCUCUUUUGCCGGGGAGCAAGGGCGGGGACGUGUCCCGGCCCGGAGAGUACCCGGAGAAAAAGCAUCGGCUAACUCCGUGCCAGCAGCCGCGGUAAUACGGAGGAUGCGAGCGUUAUCCGGAUUUAUUGGGUUUAAAGGGUGCGUAGGCGGGCUUUUAAGUCAGCGGUAAAAAUUCGGGGCUCAACCACGUCCGGCCGUUGAAACUGGGGG